GCAAGUCGUGGGGCAGCAUGGGACUUCGGUUCUGAUGGCGACCGGCGCACGGGUGAGUAACGCGUACACAAUCUACCUUUAAGUGGGGCAUAGCCUUGGGAAACUGAGAUUAAUACCCCAUAGUAUUACUUUUAAUAUUUAAUAGUAAUUAAAGCUCCGGCGCUUAAAGAUGAGUGUGCGUCUGAUUAGGUAGUUGGUAGGGUAAAGGCCUACCAAGCCGACGAUCAGUAGGGGGCGUGAGAGCGUGGAC
Molecule: ribosomal RNA, 250 nt
Filed under: uncultured bacterium
Lineage: Bacteria
Description: partial 16S ribosomal RNA
Rfam family: Bacterial small subunit ribosomal RNA
Source: RNAcentral